CGCAGAUGGUCCCCAUGAUGAUGAAGCCGAGGCUGAAGAUGGCGAUGGCGGCGGCCGAGAUGCUGUACUCUGCGGGACAGGAGGGCAGGUACGGAUACAGAAGCAACUUGCCCAAGGUCACACAGCUGGUAAACGGUGAAGCCAGCUCUCAGAACCCAGAGCCCAACCUCUGAAGCCAUGGUCGGAGCCAGGAGGAAUGGCCAAGAUCUGUUGUGACUACUGAGAGAAAGAGAGACGGCGCACACAGAAGCAGGGGAGGGGCAGAGAGAGAAGGAGACACAGAAUCCGAAGCAGGCUCCAAGCUGUCAGCACAAUGCCCGACUCGGGGCUCGAACCCACAAACAGUGAGAUCGUGACCUGAGCCGAAGUCAGACGCCCAACAAAUUGGCACCCCGGCACCCUGCAGAAAUAAAUUUCUGUUGUUUAA
Neofelis nebulosa (Clouded leopard) is the source of this 427-nucleotide long non-coding RNA. RefSeq lists it as uncharacterized. The transcript is spliced from 3 exons. Lineage: Eukaryota; Metazoa; Chordata; Mammalia; Carnivora; Felidae. The record is from RefSeq and is a predicted model, not a curated record.